RNAcentral lists this ribosomal RNA (426 nucleotides) under uncultured bacterium. RNAcentral describes it as "bacterial SSU rRNA". It matches the Rfam family "Bacterial small subunit ribosomal RNA", at positions 917 to 1341 of the family's 1533-position model. The record is from RNAcentral.
GGACCCGCACAAGUAGUGGAGCAUGUGGUUUAAUUCGAAGAUACGCGCAGAACCUUACCAACACUUGACAUGUUCGUCGCAACUCUGAGAGAUCAGAGUUUUCGGUUCGGCCGGACGAAACACAGGUGCUGCAUGGCUGUCGUCAGCUCGUGUCGUGAGAUGUUGGGUUAAGUCCCGCAACGAGCGCAACCCUCACUUUUAGUUGCCAUCAUUAAGUUGGGCACUCUGAAAGAACUGCCAGUGAUAAGCUGGAGGAAGGUGGGGAUGACGUCAAGUCCUCAUGGCCCUUACGUGUUGGGCUACACACGUGCUACAAUGGUAUCUACAACAGGAAGCAAAACUGCGAAGUUAAGCAAAUCCCUAAAAGAUACCUCAGUUCGGAUUGCACUCUGCAACUCGAGUGCAUGAAGCUGGAAUUACUAGUAA